AGUCAUCAAACAUGGAGAGGCUUAACACCCUUCUUGUCCUUCUUUUAGGACAUCGUUGGAUUUUUGGAUCAGUAGUGAAUGUGACAGUGGGAUCAGGAGAAAACAUUACUCUGUACUGUGACUGUAAAAUAUUGACUGAUGAAAUUAUUAUGUGGUACAGAAACUGUACACAUGAAAAUCAGCCUCCUCUUGUUCUAGAAAAAGAAAAGGAUCCAUUCAAACCCACCAGUGGCCGUGCAACUCUAGUGAAUUUGCUACCUCGCUUCCAUUUUGUAGAAAAUCAGUCCUCUAGUUCCUAUGAUCUACUGAUCAUGAAUACUUCUGAUUCUGAUGAGGGCCUCUAUUACUGUGGAACUGAGCGGUCACAAUCAGUUGGUGGAAAUAAACACAAAUAUAUUUACGGAUAUAGCAAUGCUACAACACGGAUCCGAUUCAAGGCCAGUGAACAAAUUUCAACUGAUCACCCAACUCUACAAGACUGCAGCAUAUGUUGGAAGCUGCUGUUCAUCCUGUGUCCAACUUUUGCUGUUCUGUCCUCUCUACUUAUCUCCCUUCUUGUUCAUCGCCUCUGCCAGAAAACAGAUGAUCAGCCCAGAUUUCAAACCAGUGGGCAAACAAGAAGGAAUCAGGAUGAAGAUGUGUUUUAUGCUACAGUGGAAACCCAUCAAGCAGCACACAAAUCAAAGAAGAUAACCUAUAGUUCUGACAUCUGCACCUAUUCUGCUAUCAACACCUCUGGCAUAUAGAUUUAACAGUAUUUCAUGUUGUGAAUUUGUCAGCUUUCUUAGCUUUACCACAAGAAUUGACAAGCGCUGGCCUUUUGCCGUUAUGGAGAAGUUACCUCACUGAAAGAUGAAGCAACUUGAUUAUUUGCAACAUUGCAAUAGGCCUGUGCUCAGAAACGGCCCUAACCAAUCUGGCGCCCUAGGCAAGAUUUUAGGUGGCGCCCCCCUACAUCAGCAGUGUAGUGUAAUGUUGUAACAAAUAAUAUUUCUAUUAAAUAAGCUUUACUUUGCAUUUUAAUUAACGUGGGAUUAUUUUUUGUAUUUAGAAAUAAUAGUACCAACUUUUUUUUUUUUCAACAUUUGUGGCACUGGCGUGGCGCCCCCUGAUGGACGGCGCCCUUAGCAUUUGCCUAUACGGCCUAUGCCACGGGCCGGCCCUGCCUGUGCUGCUGGAGUGUUUCUUCUUAACUAAACUUUUUUCACUCUCUGUGUUUUGUACUUUGCAUUUAGUCGUUUGUUAUUAUUAAUCUUUUUUCCUGUCUUCCUCACCUUGUAUCCUACUGGUUGUGCCAGAUUGCUCCCCAUCCCUGAACCUGGUUCUGCUGGAGCUUUUUCCCUGUUAGGGGAAUUUCACCUGCCUACAUUAGUGCUUGUUCAUUGAAGGUGAUCUGAUUUUUUUGUGUUUUCUCUGCAUUAUAGAAGCGUCUUUACCUUACAAUGUAAAGUGCCCUGAGGUGACAGUUGUUUUGUUUGGCACCAUGUAAAUAAAUUUGAAUUGAAUACUAAAAUGUGAUUUUAUUUGUGAUGUGACACUGUUUGCAGUGUCUGUUGUUUUGUGGUAUAAUUAGUAGUAUAAGUAAUAAACAUGAAAAGGAACACGUACAUGAAAUAAAU
Astatotilapia calliptera (eastern happy) is the source of this 1619-nucleotide long non-coding RNA. The record is from Ensembl. NCBI's taxonomy places the organism in Eukaryota, Metazoa, Chordata, Actinopteri, Cichliformes, Cichlidae.